CUUGCGGGCUCCGGAGACGCCGGCCGCUUGCUGGCUUCCUGCAUUUCCCAAGGAAAGAAGGCUUUUUUUUUCCUCAGUACUGUAAAAGGGCGGAAACAGACAGAGAUGAAAACUCACUAUGCUGCCCAGACUCGUCUCGAACUCCUGGGUGUCACGCGUGUCCGUAUAGAAGACCACCUAAACAAGCUUUGUACGGAGUUUCUCUCUUCUUGCCAAGCUGGAGUGCAAUGGCGCGAUCUCAGGUUCAAGCAAUUCUCCCGUCUCAGCCUCCUGAGUAGCUGGGAUUACAGGCAUGCGCCACCAUGCCCGGCUAAUUUUGUAUUUUUAGUAGAGACGGGGUUUCUCCAUGUUGCUCAGGCUGGUCUUGAACUCCCGACCUCAGGUGAUCUGCCUGCCUUGGCCUCCCAAAGUUCUGGGAUUACAGACGUGAGCCAUCGUGCCCAGUCUGAGAGUUCUAAGUUCUUAGAAGGUGGUUGUGUUUAGCUACUAAAAUUUUAUUGGUAGCAAUAAUCAUCUAAUGGAAAUUCAGAGAAGUGAUUUUAAAGAUUUGAAUUCCAAAACCCUAUACAAAUGUUUUAUUUUACCACAAAUGAAUUUAUCUGCAACACCUGAGUUGUGGGCGGAAAGCCACCCGGUGCCGAGGCAAGAGACCGAGGGCACGAGCUGUUCCAGUAUAAUAAAGAAAAUAUAUAAAAUAAGAAUAGUUAUACUAGAUCUAGAUCAUAGAUAUGAUUAUAUAUGAAUAUCAUUAAUCAUUAGUUUGUAGCAAUUACUCUUUAUUCCAAUAUUAUAAUAAUCCCCACUCUACAAUCAUAACCUAGGAAAAACCAGGCCAUACAGAGAUAGGAGCUGAAGGGGCACGGUGAGAAGUGACUAGAAGACAAGAGUGCGAGCCUUCUGUCACACCCAGACAGGGCCACUAGAGGGCUCCUUGGUCUAGUGGUAAUGCCAGCGUCUGGGAAGGCACCUGUUACUUAGUGGACCUUGGUCUAGCGGUAGCGUCAGUGCCUAGAAAAGGCACCCGUUACUUAGCGGACCAGGAAAGGGAGUCUCUCUUUCCCCGGGGGAGUUAGAGAGGACUCUGCUCCACCGCCUCUUGUGGAAGGCCUGACAUCAGUCAGGCCCGCCCGCAGUUAUCCGGAGGCCUAACCGUCUCCCUGUGAUGCUGUGCUUCAGCGGUCACGCUCCUGUUUCACUUUCCUGUUCCACUCUGUACACCUGGCUCCGCCCUCUAGAUAGCAGUAGCAGAAUUAGUAAAAGUACUAAAAGUCUCUGAAAUGCAGAAAUAAUGGCAUAAGCUGUCUCCUCUCUCUCUCCACCAGGGCUGCCAAACAGGGAGGGGCCCCCUGUCCGGUGGAAACGUGACUCAUGUGACCUUAUCAAUCACUGGAGAUGACUCACACUCCUUACCCUGCCCCUUUUGCUCUGUAUCCAAUAAAUAUCAGCACGGCCAGGUAUUCGGGGCCACUGCUGGUCUCCGCAUCUUGGUGGUAGUGGUCCCCCGGGCCCAGUUGUCUUUUCUUCUAUUUCUUUGUCUUGUGUCUUUAUUUCUACGAUCUCUCGUCGCCGCACAAGGGGAGAAAGAGC
Gorilla gorilla gorilla (western lowland gorilla) is the source of this 1587-nucleotide long non-coding RNA. RefSeq lists it as uncharacterized. The record is from RefSeq and is a predicted model, not a curated record. The transcript is spliced from 3 exons. NCBI's taxonomy places the organism in Eukaryota, Metazoa, Chordata, Mammalia, Primates, Hominidae.